GGGUAUAGCUCAGUUGGUAGAGCGCUGCCUUUGCACGGCAGAAGUCAGCGGUUCGAGUCCGCUUACCUCCACUC
Molecule: transfer RNA, 74 nt
Filed under: Arthrospira sp. PCC 9901
Lineage: Bacteria; Bacillati; Cyanobacteriota; Cyanophyceae; Oscillatoriales; Sirenicapillariaceae
Description: tRNA-Ala
Rfam family: tRNA
About the family: Transfer RNA (tRNA) molecules are approximately 80 nucleotides in length. Their secondary structure includes four short double-helical elements and three loops (D, anti-codon, and T loops).
Source: RNAcentral